GUGCUACCAGGGAGAAGGCUGUUACACUUAUCAGCGCUGGUCGGGCCACUGGGGAUGAUCGGGGCAGCAUCUCCACCGGAUUGAAAGAAGGCCAACGUCCGAGUGCGCCCAGUGCAGUCAGCAGUGACACCGAAUGUCCAACAGGCCGCUGCCUGGUCUGCGGCGAAGCAGCAGACAAUUAGGCGCACGUGUUGCUGGAGUGUCCGUGCUUUUACGGCCUCCGGCUCCGUGCGCGGGGAAACAUCGUCGGCGCGGCCCACGAUGUCGAACGCGACAACAUGGUGGCGAUCUUUGUCGCCGGCUACAAGGCCCACAAGAGCCUUGUUUUGGCUACGGCGGCAGCUUUGGGGACACCACAACAGCUGACGGCGGCCGCGGCCCCAGAGAUGCGCACCUGCGGGCAGGGCGGCCGCUGAUCUACGUCUCAGCUGAUUAUACUGAACAGACGGAGGAGACUGAGGCGCUGGACAACGAGUCUGUCUCUGGCCGUACUGAAGACGCUGGGUCGGAAGACCGUCAGUUCUGGUUGGGAAUCUGGCUGCUCUGACUCCGUCCAGCUGGCCGACGAGUGCGUGCCAAGACAGCCGCCGCCGCCGCCGCGCGCGCGCCAAGACGGCCGUCUACCGGCGCCGAUGCCGCCACGCGCACGUUAGACGCCCGUCCACUGGUGCCACCGCCCCACGCGCGCGCACAGUCGGCAGCCGCCGCGUAUGCGUGCCCGCCCAGAAAAUGCGCUCUGCCGCCGUUGACUGCGGCUCGAGAUUCAUGUUCAAGGUUUAGGCAUACACUCAUGUUAAUUGUCUACAUUCAUGAAGGUGCGUGGUGACAAAGAUGCCUCGUCUGUGGCAGCGGAUUUGCUUGUUCCGCCUCAACAUGUGCAAAGUUGUUAUGUAAACUGAUGCGCUCGGCAUUCGCCGUCCGCUCGCGCUGGUGGCGCGCGAACGAAUGACCUGGCCCUGUUCAUGCGGACCUGACGAGCGGCGGUAUGACGCAAUCACAUAGGCGGAUUACCUUUCACCGCGAAGAAAAUCAUUAUCAGCUGGCUUAAAAUUAUGCAAUUGUUUGCUCUCAGUUCGCCAGGUAAUAUCAUUCUUUGAUCAUUCAUGCUGACUUGCGUGGCUGAUAUUUGAUAAUAUAUAGUGUGAAGCGUUCCAUUUUUUUUCUUAUUUCAAAACUCAUCUGUGUAUCUCGCAACAAUAAUCAACCGAGUCUUUU
This is a long non-coding RNA of Amphibalanus amphitrite, 1215 nucleotides long. RefSeq lists it as uncharacterized. The record is from RefSeq and is a predicted model, not a curated record. NCBI's taxonomy places the organism in Eukaryota, Metazoa, Arthropoda, Thecostraca, Balanomorpha, Balanidae. The transcript is spliced from 2 exons.